GACGAACGCUGGCGGCGUGCUUAACACAUGCAAGUCGAACGGAAAGGCCCUGCUUUUGUGGGGGGCUCGAGUGGCGAACGGGUGAGUAACACGUGAGUAACCUGCCCUUGACUUUGGGAUAACUUCAGGAAACUGGGGCUAAUACCGGAUAGGAGCUCCUGCUGCAUGGUGGGGGUUGGAAAGUUUCGGCGGUUGGGGAUGGACUCGCGGCUUAUCAGCUUGUUGGUGGGGUAGUGGCUUACCAAGGCUUUGACGGGUAGCCGGCCUGAGAGGGUGACCGGCCACAUUGGGACUGAGAUGCGGCCCAGACUCCUACGGGAGGCAGCAGUGGGGAAUAUUGCACAAUGGGCGGAAGCCUGAUGCAGCAACGCCGCGUGCGGGAUGACGGCCUUCGGGUUGUAACCCGCUUUCGCCUGUGACGAAGCGUGAGUGACGGUAAUGGGUAAAGAAGCACCGGCUAACUACGUG
Molecule: ribosomal RNA, 468 nt
Filed under: uncultured bacterium
Lineage: Bacteria
Description: partial 16S ribosomal RNA
Rfam family: Bacterial small subunit ribosomal RNA
Source: RNAcentral